This 255-nucleotide ribosomal RNA is filed under the name Clostridioides difficile. RNAcentral's name for it is "partial 16S ribosomal RNA". It matches the Rfam family "Bacterial small subunit ribosomal RNA", at positions 167 to 422 of the family's 1533-position model. Lineage: Bacteria; Bacillati; Bacillota; Clostridia; Peptostreptococcales; Peptostreptococcaceae. The record is from RNAcentral.
UACGGGAUAAUAUAUUUGAGAGGCAUCUCUUAAAUAUCAAAGGUGAGCCAGUACAGGAUGGACCCGCGUCUGAUUAGCUAGUUGGUAAGGUAACGGCUUACCAAGGCGACGAUCAGUAGCCGACCUGCGAGGGUGAUCGGCCACAUUGGAACUGAGACACGGUCCAAACUCCUACGGGAGGCAGCAGUGGGGAAUAUUGCACAAUGGGCGAAAGCCUGAUGCAGCAACGCCGCGUGAGUGAUGAAGGCCUUCGGG